CAAUAGCGUAUAUUAAAGUUGUUGCGGUUAAAAAGCUCGUAGUUGGAUUUCUGCCGAGGACGACCGGUCCGCCCUCUGGGUGAGUAUCUGGCUCGGCCUGGGCAUCUUCUUGGAGAACGUAGCUGCACUUGACUGUGUGGUGCGGUAUCCAGGACUUUUACUUUGAGGAAAUUAGAGUGUUUCAAGCAGGCAUACGCCUUGAAUACAUUAGCAUGGAAUAAUAAGAUAGGACCUCGGUUCUAUUUUGUUGGUUUCUAGAGCUGAGGUAAUGAUUAAUAGGGAUAGUUGGGGGCAUUCGUAUUUAACUGUCAGAGGUGAAAUUCUUGGAUUUGUUAAAGACGGACUACUGCGAANGNAUUUGCNAAGGAUGUUUNCAUUG
Molecule: ribosomal RNA, 379 nt
Filed under: uncultured eukaryote
Lineage: Eukaryota
Description: partial 18S ribosomal RNA
Rfam family: Eukaryotic small subunit ribosomal RNA
Source: RNAcentral